ACAGCAGUCGCCGCGGUAAUACAGAGGGUGCAAGCGUUAAUCGGAAUUACUGGGCGUAAAGCGCGCGUAGGUGGUUCGCCAAGUUGGAUGUGAAAUCCCCGGGCUCAACCUGGGAACUGCAUUGGUGACUGCAACGCUGGAGUGCGGCAGAGGGGGAUGGAAUUCCGCGUGUAGCAGUGAAAUGCGUAGAUAUGCGGAGGAACACCGAUGGCGAAGGCAAUCCCCUGGGCCUGCACUGACGCUCAUGCACGAAAGCGUGGGGAGCAAACAGGAUUAGAUACCCGAGUAGUCCCUGUCUCUUAUAC
This 305-nucleotide ribosomal RNA is filed under the name uncultured bacterium. RNAcentral describes it as "partial 16S ribosomal RNA". It matches the Rfam family "Bacterial small subunit ribosomal RNA", at positions 508 to 807 of the family's 1533-position model. The record is from RNAcentral.